This is a non-coding RNA of Salvia hispanica, 725 nucleotides long. The record is from RefSeq and is a predicted model, not a curated record. NCBI's taxonomy places the organism in Eukaryota, Viridiplantae, Streptophyta, Magnoliopsida, Lamiales, Lamiaceae.
CAAACAUUCCACAAAUUCUCUCCAUACUCACAUAGAAUAGAGGAGUUCAUACUCGCAUCGGAUAGAGGGAGAGUUGCAGAUACUUGUAGGAUCAAGUCUCCAAUCCAACAACACUUUUUCCUCACAUCAAAAAGGUUGAGCAAUGAAGUGGUGGAGGAAGUGCUACUGAGACAAUACAUUUAAUUCAAUCAGAUUAGGACUCUCGGAGGUUCAUGUCUCCAUACAUGGAACCGCGUUCUUUUCCUUCCACUGUGCAUCUUAAAAGACUCUAGUCUAUUUUGUUCAAAACUCUGGUAUUUUGAAAACUUUUACAAACAAUUACUCGAGUUUUCAUAAGCGAUUAUCUUUUCCUCUAUGUAUCAGCACUUGAUUAGUCAUGUCUCCAACCAAUGUUUGAUUUUAUUUUUUUUCCCCUAUUUCUUUCCCCGCUUCUUAUACCCCGUCCCUAGUCACGGUUUCCCGACUGUGCUAUUCUUAGCAAGUGCGGUCGUGACAAAGUCAGAAGCUGAGGUUGAGCAAAUUUAAAAAUAAGAAACCAAUGCACGAAAUUUCAAGAUUUAAAUUGCCAAGUAGAGAAUGUGGCUGCUUGUAUGGCUUAGAUGCUCGGCCUAUAGGCUAUAGAAGAUAAAACAAAAGUGACAAGGCAUUAGGCGUGGCCUUUACUUUGUCUAUUGCCAUUGGUGUUGAUUUGGUCUAAUUUUAUAGAAUUGUCAUUUCUUGUAAUA